AAUCAACGCUGGCGGCGUGCCUCAGACAUGCAAGUCGAACGAUUAAAGCUCUCUUCGGAGAGUGCAUAGAGUGGCGCACGGGUGAGUAACACGUAAGUAAUCUACCUUCGAGUGGGGAAUAACGUCCGGAAACGGACGCUAAUACCGCAUAAUGCAGCGGCAUCGUAAGAUGACAGUUGUUAAAGAUUUAUCGCUUGAAGAGGAGCUUGCGGCAGAUUAGCUAGUUGGUAAGGUAAUGGCUUACCAAGGCUACGAUCUGUAACCGGUCUUAGAGGACGGUCGGUCACACUGACACUGAAUAACGGGUCAGACUCCUACGGGAGGCAGCAGUCGGGAAUUUUGGGCAAUGGGCGAAAGCCUGACCCAGCAACGCCGCGUGAAGGAUGAAGUAUUUCGGUAUGUAAACUUCGCAAAUAUGGGAAGAACAAAAUGACGGUACCAUAUGUAAGCCCCGGCUAACUCCGUG
Molecule: ribosomal RNA, 466 nt
Filed under: uncultured bacterium
Lineage: Bacteria
Description: bacterial SSU rRNA
Rfam family: Bacterial small subunit ribosomal RNA
Source: RNAcentral